Molecule: unclassified non-coding RNA, 335 nt
Filed under: soil metagenome
Description: partial contains 5.8S ribosomal RNA, internal transcribed spacer 2, and large subunit ribosomal RNA
Rfam family: 5.8S ribosomal RNA (bases 1-120)
Source: RNAcentral
GAUGAAGAACGUAGCGAAAUGCGAUAAGUAAUGUGAAUUGCAGAAUUCAGUGAAUCAUCGAAUCUUUGAACGCACAUUGCGCCCGCCAGUAUUCUGGCGGGCAUGCCUGUUCGAGCGUCAUUUCAACCAUCAAGCCCCAGGCUUGUGUUGGGGACCUGCGGCUGCCGCAGGCCCUGAAAACCAGUGGCGGGCUCGCUGUCACACCGGGCGUAGUAGAUUUUAUCUCGCUCAGGGCGUGCUGCGGGUCCCGGCCGUUAAAAGCCUUUUUUUACCCAAGGUUGACCUCGGAUCAGGUAGGAAGACCCGCUGAACUUAAGCAUAUCAAUAAGCGGAGG